UAGGUUGAGGAGGUGGUGAUUGUGGCGGUGGAGGAGGAGGAUGAAGUAGCCAACACUGUGUAUAUAUAUAUAUAUAAUUUUUUUAAUUGGGGUAGCCCCCAAAAUAUUGGGACAUAUAGAAAAGAUAACUCUGUUCCACAGAGUAGCUGUUAACAUUAUAGUUGUGCAGGCACUUUGUUGACUCUAGAGAACCUUGGGCCAAUUGCACAUCCCCGUGGCGGCGACUUUGCAUGCGGAUGUCAUCCAUAUCAACUUUCGAUGCCAGUUUCUGCGCCUACCAUGGUGACCAUGGGUAACGGGGAAUCAGAGUUCCAUUCCGCAAAGGGAUCCUUAGAAACGGCUACCACAUGCAAGGAAGGCAGCAAAUGACCCACUUCCAACACGGGAAGGUAGUGAUGACAAAUAACAAUACAGGACUCUUUAGAGGCCUUGUAAUUGUAAUGAGUCCACUUGAAAUCCUUUAACUCUGAUCAAUUGGAGGGAAGUCUGGUGCAGAGUCACUGACCCGUGCGUGCGGCAGCUGAAACUCCACU
Non-coding RNA from Pelobates cultripes (western spadefoot toad), 533 nucleotides. The record is from the annotation of a GenBank genome assembly. NCBI's taxonomy places the organism in Eukaryota, Metazoa, Chordata, Amphibia, Anura, Pelobatidae.